UGUUAUUUUAAGAAAACACAUACUUCUGUAAAAAAAAUUCUUUGUUAUCUAAUUUAAUAAAGAAUUACAAUUUAAAGGUGAUAGAUAUGCAAGUUGUCAGCAUUCCAAGUCCAAGGAAUUGGAGUUAUAUCUAGCCGACAAAAGUGAUAGACUCUCAGUCGAACUAUUUCAGCAACACGAUACGGGCUUUCCCAGUUUGGCAUCAGCUUUGAUC
Molecule: long non-coding RNA, 214 nt
Filed under: Elaeis guineensis (African oil palm)
Lineage: Eukaryota; Viridiplantae; Streptophyta; Magnoliopsida; Arecales; Arecaceae
Description: long non-coding RNA (EGUI_LNC034497)
Source: RNAcentral